Molecule: non-coding RNA, 89 nt
Filed under: Pseudomonas jessenii
Lineage: Bacteria; Pseudomonadati; Pseudomonadota; Gammaproteobacteria; Pseudomonadales; Pseudomonadaceae
Source: RNAcentral
UGUGGGAGCGAGCCUGCUCGCGAAGGCGUCGUUUCAGGUAAAUCAAUGUUGGAUGACCUAACGCUUUCGCGAGCAGGCUCGCUCCCACA